This 501-nucleotide ribosomal RNA is filed under the name uncultured bacterium. Its description in RNAcentral is "partial 16S ribosomal RNA". It matches the Rfam family "Bacterial small subunit ribosomal RNA", at positions 30 to 523 of the family's 1533-position model. The record is from RNAcentral.
AUUGAACGCUGGCGGCAGGCUUAACACAUGCAAGUCGAGCGGAGAUGAGGUGCUUGCACCUUAUCUUAGCGGCGGACGGGUGAGUAAUGCUUAGGAAUCUGCCUAUUAGUGGGGGACAACAUUCCGAAAGGAAUGCUAAUACCGCAUACGUCCUACGGGAGAAAGCAGGGGAUCUUCGGACCUUGCGCUAAUAGAUGAGCCUAAGUCGGAUUAGCCAGUUGGUGGGGUAAAGGCCUACCAAGGCGACGAUCUGUAGCGGGUCUGAGAGGAUGAUCCGCCACACUGGGACUGAGACACGGCCCAGAGUCCUACGGGAGGCAGCAGUGGGGAAUACUGGACAAUGGGGGGAACCCUGAUCCAGCCAUGCCGCGUGUGUGAAGAAGGCCUUAUGGUUGUAAAGCACUUUAAGCGAGGAGGAGGCUACUGAGACUAAUACUCUUGGAUAGUGGACGUUACUCGCAGAAUAAGCACCGGCUAACUCUGUGCCAGCCGCCGCGGUAA